Molecule: ribosomal RNA, 468 nt
Filed under: uncultured bacterium
Lineage: Bacteria
Description: partial 16S ribosomal RNA
Rfam family: Bacterial small subunit ribosomal RNA
Source: RNAcentral
GACGAACGCUGGCGGCGUGCUUAACACAUGCAAGUCGAACGGAAAGGCCCUGCUUUUGUGGGGUGCUCGAAUGGCGAACGGGUGAGUAACACGUGAGUAACCUGCCCUUGGCUUUGGGAUAACUUCAGGAAACUGGGGCUAAUACCGGAUAGGAGCUCCUGCUGCAUGGUGGGGGUUGGAAAGUUUCGGCGGUUGGGGAUGGACUCGCGGCUUAUCAGCUUGUUGGUGGGGUAGUGGCUUACCAAGGCUUUGACGGGUAGCCGGCCUGAGAGGGUGACCGGCCACAUUGGGACUGAGAUACGGCCCAGACUCCUACGGGAGGCAGCAGUGGGGAAUAUUGCACAAUGGGCGGAAGCCUGAUGCAGCAACGCCGCGUGCGGGAUGACGGCCUUCGGGUUGUAAACCGCUUUCGCCUGUGACGAAGCGUGAGUGACGGUAAUGGGUAAAGAAGCACCGGCUAACUACGUG